AGGGUCCUUUGCCGAGAUCUAGGGCAAGGCCUCUCGGCAAUUUUUUUGUUUUUUAGCCACCAAACUUUUUCUUUAUGCUCCCUAGCUAGUUAGAGUUAUCCAACAUAUUCAAGUUUGGUGUAAUUUUAUCAAUAUUUACUAUAUUUCUUUCUUUUUUUCGUUUCAUUGAAUUUCUUGAAAAAUGUAUGUUAGAACUGCAAGUGCAUGAAAUCACGUGUUUCUAUGCACAAAAAGUUGAUAUUCAUGGUACUUACGCUAAUUCAAGGCCGUGUGCAUGAAAACACCCUAGCUCUCGCAUGUUUUUGUGGCGAACCCUGACUUUUGAGACGGUGUGGAAUAGGUUUUAAAUUAUAGAAAAUCCAAACGAGUUCAAAAAAUCGCGAAACUUGACGAGGUGUCCUCAUAUCACAUG
RNAcentral lists this long non-coding RNA (412 nucleotides) under Sorghum bicolor (sorghum). Its description in RNAcentral is "long non-coding RNA (SBIC_LNC009506)". The record is from RNAcentral. Lineage: Eukaryota; Viridiplantae; Streptophyta; Magnoliopsida; Poales; Poaceae.